Molecule: non-coding RNA, 1683 nt
Organism: Chlorocebus sabaeus (green monkey)
Lineage: Eukaryota; Metazoa; Chordata; Mammalia; Primates; Cercopithecidae
Source: RefSeq, a predicted model, not a curated record
CCCAGCAGCAUCUCGAUGGGGUGACGUGAGGGGCACAGAGAACCGAGGAUUGGGUCUGAUGGGAUUAAACCCCCAACUGGUGUCCCCGUGUCUUCUCUUUGCUGACACCAGACACCAAGAAGAAACAGCCCCAGACACACCGAAAUGCCAGGCUCGUGGUCAGAGAUGACACAACAGAGAAAAGAAUUCACGGCUGGGACCAGCUAGUCCAUGACUCCACCUUCUUGCUUUCAAGCCAGUGAGGUGAUCUGAGUCCCAGCAGCCUCAUCUGCCAAGUCAACCCCUGCACUGCAUUGAGAAAGCUGCAGUCAGAGAUUCCGAGUGAAGACAAGCGCUGUCCCACGCCAGAGCCCAAACCUGUCCCCCGGUUGGGAAGCUGAGGAGUGAUUAUUUGGUUCUCGGAUGCUUCGAGGGUGCCUCAUGUGGUAUGCGGUCAGUGCACACAUCCCAGAUCUUGGCGCCAAGCCCUGACAACCACUUCACCCUGGAGGCCGUUCCCAGAGCCUAUUUCACGGCUCAUUCAGAAGGAAGAUGAGGGGCCUUUUCCAUUUCCAGUAUUAAAUGAUUUAAUUCACAAGGGACUUGGUCAACACAAGUAUCCCAACAGAGCCCAGGUCCUGUAUCAUUUGUAAUUUACCAUUCUGAUUAAACCCAACCCAACCCCAUCAAACUCCGCAUGGGGUGAACCAACCGAAACUGCCCCAGAGGCCCCAGGGGGGCAUCCGGCCCAGGGAACUGAGGCUGGGGAGGGGAGGGGGAGCUGGGAGUACAUCUGCCUCAUUUCAGGAAAUCCAGUAACCUCUUAAGAUGGAUGUUUCUGUAGAAAUACAUCUGAUAAAUGUUUAAUUACAUGUUAAGAGGGACCAUUAUUCACGGAGCAGUCAUUAGCCCCAGAGAACUUCAAGCCCCUCACCUUGUUAAGAGUCACGUUCAUAUGGAGAUCAGCCCCAAAUUCCAACAUUCCCUGCUCCAGGAGGAGAGCAGCUGGGAGAGCCUGGUGAGGUCUCCAUCAAAACAGUGUAACACAGGGCAUCAGUGGGGUGGCCAGCGGCUUGGCUGUGGGUGGGAGAUUUCAGAGAGGUGGGACCUAAGCCAGGAACCUGAAUCAAGGCGCCGAGACCUCAGCCCCACCCCGACCUACCUGUUCUAAGGGUCCCUGCAGGGCUCCGUAAUCCCUACCUGUGAGGGGCUCCCCUCCUGAAGCUCUUGAUGCUUCCCAGGCCCCCCGAAGUCCUGCGGUUCCCUGGAGAUGCUGUCGGCUCACAAGGUGCCAGGAAGAACUCUCCUGGGAUGGAAGACUUGGGUGGACCCGUCCUGGGUGACAGGCAGUGGGUGUAUCGCUCAGGGUUCUGAGGAGGCAGGUGACAGAAUCCAUUAGGUCCUGAAGCAAGGAAAAGCAGAACCAACCAGAAGGUCCCAGGAGCAGGAGUCCCAGGUCUUGGAGGGGCAGGAACUAGGGCAUCCUGGGGCUCUUGGUGGCAGGGGCAAGGGAGAAGAGCUUGCUGAGGGCCGCUUAGUAUAAGCCCAGGUGACUUAAGUCCCAGAAAAAACAAAAUGGUGGACCCUUACCCAUAGAAGGCAGCAGAGCCAGGCCAUCCCUCUGCACUCCAGGAGCCCCAGGUACCACACUACCUCUCAGCCCUGCCAGGGAACUUCUCCCUUCCUCCUUUCCCUCCCACUCCU